RNAcentral lists this transfer RNA (72 nucleotides) under Ipomoea nil (Japanese morning glory). It matches the Rfam family "tRNA". Rfam says of the family: Transfer RNA (tRNA) molecules are approximately 80 nucleotides in length. Their secondary structure includes four short double-helical elements and three loops (D, anti-codon, and T loops). Lineage: Eukaryota; Viridiplantae; Streptophyta; Magnoliopsida; Solanales; Convolvulaceae. The record is from Rfam by way of RNAcentral.
GUCGUUGUAGUAUAGUGGUGAGUAUCCCCGCCUGUCACGCGGGAGACCCGGGAUUGAUCCCCGGCAAAGGCG